Molecule: ribosomal RNA, 539 nt
Filed under: uncultured bacterium
Lineage: Bacteria
Description: bacterial SSU rRNA
Rfam family: Bacterial small subunit ribosomal RNA
Source: RNAcentral
AACACGUGAGUAACCUGCCCUUGACUUUGGGAUAACUUCAGGAAACUGGGGCUAAUACCGGAUAGGAGCUCCUGCUGCAUGGUGGGGGUUGGAAAGUUUCGGCGGUUGGGGAUGGACUCGCGGCUUAUCAGCUUGUUGGUGGGGUAGUGGCUUACCAAGGCUUUGACGGGUAGCCGGCCUGAGAGGGUGACCGGCCACAUUGGGACUGAGAUACGGCCCAGACUCCUACGGGAGGCAGCAGUGGGGAAUAUUGCACAAUGGGCGGAAGCCUGAUGCAGCAACGCCGCGUGCGGGAUGACGGCCUUCGGGUUGUAAACCGCUUUCGCCUGUGACGAAGCGUGAGUGACGGUAAUGGGUAAAGAAGCACCGGCUAACUACGUGCCAGCAGCCGCGGUGAUACGUAGGGUGCGAGCGUUGUCCGGAUUUAUUGGGCGUAAAGGGCUCGUAGGUGGUUGAUCGCGUCGGAAGUGUAAUCUUGGGGCUUAACCCUGAGCGUGCUUUCGAUACGGGUUGACUUGAGGAAGGUAGGGGAGAAUGGA